RNAcentral lists this ribosomal RNA (468 nucleotides) under uncultured bacterium. RNAcentral's name for it is "partial 16S ribosomal RNA". It matches the Rfam family "Bacterial small subunit ribosomal RNA", at positions 28 to 507 of the family's 1533-position model. The record is from RNAcentral.
GACGAACGCUGGCGGCGUGCUUAACACAUGCAAGUCGAACGGAAAGGCCCUGCUUAUGUGGGGUGCUCGAGUGGCGAACGGGUGAGUAACCCGUGAGUAACCUGCCACUGACUUUGGGAUAACUUCAGGCAACUGGGGCUCAUACCGGAUAGGAGCUCCUGCUGCAUGGUGGGGGUUGGAAAGUUUCGGCGGUUGGGGAUGGAAUCGCGGCGUAUCAGCUUGUUGGUGGGGUAGUGGCUUACCAAGGCCUUGACGGGUAGCCGGCCUGCGAGGGUGACCGGCCACAUUGGGACUGAGAUACGGCCCAGACUCCUACGGGAGGCAGCAGUGGGGAAUAUUGCACAAUGGGCGGAAGCCUGAUGCAGCAACGCCGCGUGCGGGAUGACGGCCUUCGGGUUGUAAUCCGCUUUCGCCUGUGACGAAGCGUGAGUGACGGUAAUGGGUAAAGAAGCACCGGCUAACUACGUG